Molecule: ribosomal RNA, 138 nt
Filed under: uncultured eukaryote
Lineage: Eukaryota
Description: partial 18S ribosomal RNA
Rfam family: Eukaryotic small subunit ribosomal RNA
Source: RNAcentral
UGGUGGAGUGAUUUGUCUGGUUAAUUCCGAUAACGAACGAGACCUUAACCUGCUAAAUAGCCAGGCCGGCCUUGGCUGGUCGCCGGCUUCUUAGAGGGACUGUCAGCGUCUAGCUGACGGAAGUUUGAGGCAAUAACA